CCUACGGGUGGCUGCAGUGGGGGAUAUUGCACAAUGGGGGGAACCCUGAUGCAGCGACGCCGCGUGGGUGAAGAAGCGCCUCGGCGCGUAAAGCCCUGUCAGCAGGGAAGAAAAUGACGGUACCUGAAGAAGAAGCCCCGGCUAACUACGGGCCAGCAGCCGCGGGAAUACUUAGGGGGCAAGCGUUAGCCGGAUUUAAUGGGUGUAAAGGGGGCGCAGACGGCGCUGCAAGCCAGGAGGGAAAGCCCGGGCGCAACCCCCGGGACUGCUCUUGGAACUGCGUGGCGGGAGUGCAGGAGGGGCAGGCGGAAUUCCUGGUGUAGCGGUGAAAUGCGUAGAUAUCAGGAGGAACACCGGUGGCGAAGGCGGCCUGCUGGACUGCAACUGACGUUGAGGCCCGAAAGCGUGGGGAGCAAACAGGAUUAGAUACCCCAGUAGUC
This 440-nucleotide ribosomal RNA is filed under the name uncultured bacterium. Its description in RNAcentral is "partial 16S ribosomal RNA". It matches the Rfam family "Bacterial small subunit ribosomal RNA", at positions 338 to 795 of the family's 1533-position model. The record is from RNAcentral.